UAGGGAAUCUUCGGCAAUGGACGGAAGUCUGACCGAGCAACGCCGCGUGAGUGAAGAAGGUUUUCGGAUCGUAAAGCCCUGUUGUUAGAGAAGAACGUUGGUAGGAGUGGAAAAUCUACCAAGUGACGGUAACUAACCAGAAAGGGACGGCUAACUACGUGCCAGCAGCCGCGGUAAUACGUAGGUCCCGAGCGUUGUCCGGAUUUAUUGGGCGUAAAGCGAGCGCAGGCGGUUCUUUAAGUCUGAAGUUAAAGGCAGUGGCAUAACCAUUGUACGCUUUGGAAACUGGAGGACUUGAGUGCAGAAGGGGAGGGUGGAAUUCCAUGUGUAGCGGUAAAAAGCGUAUAUAUAUGGAGGAACACCGGGAGCGAAAGCGGCGCUCUGGUCUGUAACAGACUCUGAGGCACAAAAGCGUGGGGAGCAAACGGG
RNAcentral lists this ribosomal RNA (429 nucleotides) under Bacillota bacterium. RNAcentral describes it as "Firmicutes bacterium partial 16S ribosomal RNA". It matches the Rfam family "Bacterial small subunit ribosomal RNA", at positions 355 to 776 of the family's 1533-position model. The record is from RNAcentral. Lineage: Bacteria; Bacillati; Bacillota.